This 503-nucleotide ribosomal RNA is filed under the name Tolypocladium amazonense. Its description in RNAcentral is "SSU rRNA". It matches the Rfam family "Eukaryotic small subunit ribosomal RNA", at positions 73 to 581 of the family's 1831-position model. Lineage: Eukaryota; Fungi; Ascomycota; Sordariomycetes; Hypocreales; Ophiocordycipitaceae. The record is from RNAcentral.
AUUAUACAGCGAACUGCGAAUGGCUCAUUAUAUAAGUUAUCGUUUAUUUGAUAGUACCUUACUACUUGGAUAACCGUGGUAAUUCUAGAGCUAAUACAUGCUAAAAAUCCCGACUUCGGAAGGGAUGUAUUUAUUAGAUUAAAAACCAAUGCCCUCUGGGCUCCUUGGUGAUUCAUGAUAACUUCUCGAAUCGCAUGGCCUUGCGCCGGCGAUGGUUCAUUCAAAUUUCUUCCCUAUCAACUUUCGAUGUUUGGGUAGUGGCCAAACAUGGUUGCAACGGGUAACGGAGGGUUAGGGCUCGACCCCGGAGAAGGAGCCUGAGAAACGGCUACUACAUCCAAGGAAGGCAGCAGGCGCGCAAAUUACCCAAUCCCGACACGGGGAGGUAGUGACAAUAAAUACUGAUACAGGGCUCUUUUGGGUCUUGUAAUUGGAAUGAGUACAAUUUAAAUCCCUUAACGAGGAACAAUUGGAGGGCAAGUCUGGUGCCAGCAGCCGCGGUA